CCUACGGGCGGCAGCAGUGAGGAAUAUUGGUCAAUGGACGCAAGUCUGAACCAGCCAUGCCGCGUGCAGGAAGACGGCUCUAUGAGUUGUAAACUGCUUUUGUACGAGGGUAAACGCCGAUACGCGUAUCUGUCUGAGCGGAUCGUACGAAUAAGGAUCGGCCAACUCCGUGCCAGCAGCCGCGGUAAUCCGGAGGAUGCGAGCGUUAUCCGGAUUUAUUGGGGUUAAAGGGUGCGCAGGCGGAAGGUAAAGUCAGCGGUGAAAUUGGGCGGCUCAACCUCUUCGAGCCGUUGAAACUGGUGGGCUGGAGUGAGUGAGAGGUAGGCGGAAUGCGUGGUGUAGCGGUGAAAUGCAUAGAUAUCACGCAGAACUCCGAUUGCGAAGGCAGCAUACCGGAGCUCAACUGACGCUCAUGCACGAAAGUGUGGGUAGCGAACAGGAUUAGAUACCCCAGUAGUC
This 459-nucleotide ribosomal RNA is filed under the name uncultured bacterium. Its description in RNAcentral is "partial 16S ribosomal RNA". It matches the Rfam family "Bacterial small subunit ribosomal RNA", at positions 338 to 795 of the family's 1533-position model. The record is from RNAcentral.